Molecule: long non-coding RNA, 1130 nt
Filed under: Ursus americanus (American black bear)
Lineage: Eukaryota; Metazoa; Chordata; Mammalia; Carnivora; Ursidae
Description: lncRNA (ENSUAMG00000025625.1)
Source: RNAcentral
AUGAACGAGGGUGAACAGGGCGGCCAGGGACCCGAAGGGGGGACCCCUUCAGUCCUUCGCCAUUCACUUUCCCCUCUAGUCUCACACCCCCCUUUAUAUUCCGCUUCACGUGGGGUGCGGGGCAGGAGGGAGGGGGAAGACAAGGCAAGGGGGAGACAAGGGGAGGGGGUGGGAAAACCGAGAAAUGCCCACCUUCUCCGGACAACUCAGAAGCCACCUAAACCCUCCUCCCGCCGCCGCGGCGGCGGCCGCUGCAAAACCCUCCCGGUCGCUCUGCACGAAGGCUGCGCGGAGCUAGUGUCGCCUUCCCCUCGCCACCCUCAGGGCCGCCGCCGCCGGCAAGCCCCGAGCUCAGUGUCGCUCAAACCUCCCCUCCCGGCCCCGCUGUCCCCGCUCGGCCCUCCCCCCACGCCCCUCGGACCCUUUCAAACCCCCUGGGCUCGCGGCGGCUGUUCCGUGAGCAAACGCUGGCCGCGGCUGGGGCCGGGGCGGCGAGGCUCGGAGCGGGGCGGCGGCGGGGCGCCCGGUACGGUGAGCCCAGCAACGAGGCGCGGGCGGGCGCGCAGAGACGCCGGGUCCUCGCGGAGCACGGCCGGGGCGCGGCGGCGGCAGUGGCAGCGGGAGCCCAGGGACAGCUCCAUCACUGGCAGCCAUGGAGCCCGAGCAUUUUCCUCCCUCAGGGCAGGCGCCUCGGCUCGGCACACGUCCUCGGGGAGGAAGGGGCCGGCGCCCGAGCCUCCCCGGAGGGCGGCGGGAUGUGCGCUAGCGCGGAGGGGUGCGAGUCGCUCCUGUCCUCUUCCUCCGCAGCCGGCUCGUCCUCACCCUUGCUGCUCCCGCGGCCCGGGCGGGAGGGGGCCGCAGGCAGCGGCGGCUCCUCGGCGGCGUUGGUGGCCAGACGGGCUGGUGCAAGCGACUGCAGCCGACGCCGUUCAAAGGAACGAGAGGUAUGUAUUAGCUUUUGCCAGACCUGGGUCAGAGCCCAAAGUCAAAACUGAGGCCAAAGGGACAAUCUUGCUGAGGACUCCUGCUGCUGCCAAGGGCUGUCCAUCCAUAGGAAGACUUCCCUUGACAGCCCUGUCCUGAGGCAGCUGGUUCUGGUGGGCAGCUGGUAGGUAUGUGUGGCGUGCAUG